AUUGAACGCUGGCGGCAGGCUUAACACAUGCAAGUCGAACGAGUGGCGGACGGGUGAGUAAUGUCUGGGAAAUUGCCCGAUGGCGGGGGAUGACUACUGCAAACGGUAGCUAAUACCGCAUACCAGUGGAUGUGCCCAGAUGGGAUUAGCCAGUAGGCGGGGUGAUGGGUCACCUAGGCGACGAGCCCUAGCUGGGCUGAGAGGAUGACCAGACACACUGGAACUGAUACACGGGCCAGACUCCUACGGGAGGCAGGAGAGGGGAAUGUUGCACAAUGGGCGCAAGGCUGAUGCGGCCAUUGCGCGUAGAUGGAGAAGGCCUUCGAGUUGUAAAGGUCGUUCAGCGAGGAGGCGUUACUCGCAGAAGAAGCACCGGCUAACUCCGUGCCAGCAGCCGCGGUAAUAC
Molecule: ribosomal RNA, 406 nt
Filed under: uncultured bacterium
Lineage: Bacteria
Description: partial 16S ribosomal RNA
Rfam family: Bacterial small subunit ribosomal RNA
Source: RNAcentral